Molecule: ribosomal RNA, 252 nt
Filed under: uncultured bacterium
Lineage: Bacteria
Description: partial 16S ribosomal RNA
Rfam family: Bacterial small subunit ribosomal RNA
Source: RNAcentral
ACAGAGGGUGCGAGCGUUAAUCGGAAUUACUGGGCGUAAAGGGCGCGUAGGCGGUCUGGUAAGUUGGGUGUGAAAGCCUCGGGCUUAACCUGGGAAUUGCAUUCAAUACUGCCGGACUGGAGUAUGGUAGAGGGAAGUGGAAUUCCGGGUGUAGCGGUGAAAUGCGUAGAUAUCCGGAGGAACACCAGUGGCGAAGGCGGCUUCCUGGACCAAUACUGACGCUGAGGCGCGAAAGCGUGGGGAGCAAACAGG